CUGUAGCUCAGUUGGUAGAGCGCACGACUGAAAAUCGUGAGGUCACGGGAUCGACGCCCGUCGGAGCCA
Molecule: transfer RNA, 69 nt
Filed under: Micrococcales bacterium
Lineage: Bacteria; Bacillati; Actinomycetota; Actinomycetes; Micrococcales
Description: tRNA-Phe
Rfam family: tRNA
About the family: Transfer RNA (tRNA) molecules are approximately 80 nucleotides in length. Their secondary structure includes four short double-helical elements and three loops (D, anti-codon, and T loops).
Source: RNAcentral